UUCAGUAUUUUAAUUUAAAAGAUAGAACAGUAAUCUUGACAGCAGCUGCAAAUGUAUUUACAGCCAUUUUUGUCCACAAAACUGAACAUACAGCACAGAGUACGAAAUGUUCUGGGCAGGAAACAUUUGGUUUUGUCUAAAUUUGGGAGGAACUUAAUGUACUGCAAUGCCAUUUACUGCUACUACAGUUAGCGUCCAGCAGAAUAAUUAAACAAAUAGCUAGCAACAGAUUUCAUACAGAACAAAGGCAAAAUGAGAGAUACAUGACAUUUUCUAAUUGCUGUAACGAAUGACUACAUUUGGCUUUAGGCAAACUUCAACAAUUAGAACUAUCCUCAAAAGCAUACACCGAGCUGGCAGGAGCAGUAGCCAUAUCUAUGUUAUUGCCACAAAGUAGAAUUGUUGAAAUAACUAGUCUAAGGGCCAAGAUGCUGCAAGGGUGAGUUUCAAAAGCUACCUAAAACACACCUAAAAAGCAAGUUGAGAUUCACUUCCCAGUGUCAGUGUCAAUAUACACAGUAUAAUUAACACUGUAUUAUUACAACUUAUCACACAGCAUUUGCAAACAUGAAAUCACCAGGCAGGAAGUUCAUGGGACACAGUGGUAAGGUUCUGCUAGCGUGCUUCUCAGCAUCUCCUGCUGAUUUAUGGUUAAAGACAUCACUGCAAAUAGAAGUCUGCAUCCUAUUUUGGAAUUCAUCACACAUUCUACCACUAUUUCUCUAGGGUUCUCAAAUGUUAACAUUUCUGUGUGUAAAAAUGAAUAAAUAAAAAUAAUAUAUAUAUAUAUUAAAAAAAAAGUAAUUAAAAGAGUUCACAAAAGUGCAUGGCCAGCUCUCAGGAGAUGGCCAUUUCUGUCAUUGCUGCAAAGUGCUGAAAAUCAAUACUCUACAUUAGGCAAGUAAAAUUUCAGUUUUUACCUUGUAUGAAUGAAAAAAAGUGGGUCUAUUACUGAAGUGCUGCAUGCUGUCUCUUUCCAAAUACUGGAGCUUAGUGUUCAGGUAGAACAUUCUGGUGAGAGUUGCUGAACUCUCACCAGAGAGUUCAGUUCUCUCUGGUGAGAGAACUGAAGGGGGGGAUGAAGGGAAGAGAGACACACUUGCAAAGACUGAGGUACAACCCUUACUAGCUUAUAUCCACAAACAAGACAGCUGUGGAAAUAGGACUCUCAGCUCUUUUCCAAAGGCAUAGGAGAUCCAAGCAGCCUUUCUCUUCAUUGACUUUACAGAUCAAACUGCAAAAUUUACAUGCCUGAAGCUGGGCAACAUGCAUACUCCUCAAGAAGCCAAAAUUAUGCUAGUCUAGAUGGAACCCUCCUUUUACCAUUCCAUUUCCAUUAGCACCAGUGGAUGCUCAAUGCCUGCUCUGCUGUUACAGUUUAGGUGAUAUUUUGCAGAAUACAACUUAGAGUAGUUGCACUUGGCAGGGCCUAACUAGGCAGGAAAAGAAAAGUAAAAAUUUAAUACAUAAAAAUGCUUCUUUGAUGCUACCUUAGCAUAAUCUGCAUUGGAAGAGGCACAGAAGAAUAAGCUUCUAGCCUAAUGUACCAUGAUCAAAACAUACUCACCAUCCCAAUGCCUUUGCUCUUAAAACAUCUGCUAAAGCAUCCAGCUUGGGAAGAAAGAUCAAAAUGUGACAUCUAAAAGGCAUUCAAGGAAGGAUGGCAAGUGUCCCUCAGAGUCUUCUUAGCUUUCCUCCCACCCUCACUCAAAUAAACAUAACACAAUGGCGGUGGAGGAGAUGGGGAGGCCAUUUCAAACUUAUUUUAGCUUGCUUUUGGCAUCUAAGCAUGCAAGCGAGAGCAUCAACAUUUAGAAGCCUAAAGUCCCCAUAAAGCUGAUUAACUCAGCAGAGAAACAUCUGGAGCACAGGGCUGGAUACCAAAGUCUGAUGGCAGGGCUUGGAGAGCCCUCAGCAUCAGCUCUUUUUGAUGAAUACUGGCCAUAACCACACUGUCUAAAGAUGUAUUUACUGGUCCCACUUGACUUUUUACAGCAAAAGCUGCACUUUUAUUCCACUGUAAUGCCUCAAACCCUCAAAAUCGGAUCACAAGGGGAAAAGAUAGUGAUGGAAGCCCUGUAGUUACCUUGCUAGAAAAACAUGUAUUCAGAGUAAAAUGCAUUGUGCAAAACACUUUCAAAAACCACUGUAGGGAAGAUUCCUUCUCCACUGACACAUCUUCAAUUAUUCAAGUUUGUGUGGAAAAAUACUUUAGAAACAUCAGCUCUGCCGUGUCUAUUCACUCAGGGCAGGAGUUUAUGAAUCAAUGUUAAAGUUGUGGCUAUUUUCUCCUAAAAGUUAGCCUUGAAUAAACCAUUCAUCCACAUUCAAUACCAUAAACAUACAUACAAAAGGAAAGCUUUAGCCUAAUUCCUGGCUGUCUUUUUGUUCAGCCUGGUAACUCACAGUACAUGAUGACUCACAAUUAUAGGCAAUUAAUUCAAAUAUCUGGGAAACAAGAAAUCACAUCUGCAGUUAAUCAUCUUAUGCUUUUUCCAAACCAUAAAUCAUUUUUGUAAAGGAAGAGAACAAAGAUAUAAGAGAUAUAAUUAAAUGUGACAUUUUCCACAAAUCAAACGCUUCCUACAAAUGUGCCAAUAACAUCACAGAAAAACAAAGCUUUCCAAAUUGCUUGUGUUUAUAUAAUGCUCAUCAUCUCUCCAAGGCUCACUUAAGGCAGAGAGUACAAUACAUAUUAUAUGCUACCAUAGUGUGAAAUUGUCAUUGCUAACCUAGGAGGCAAUUUCACUGCACUACUCCAAAUCCCAUCUAUGGCAACCACCACCGCCUUGGCCAAAAUUACUUCCCAGGUAAAAUGAUUCCUCUCAUAUGCUGAACUGCAGUUGACACCUAUAGUCUAUUUGUAGCCCAGCCUAAUAGCCCAGCCUAUAAGUUCAGGUGCAGGCUCAGAGUGAAAUGUUGGCCCUUUGGAAGGAAAACCAAAAAGAACUUAGCAAAUGAGCUGACUGAGGCUUCCCAAAUGAGCCCAUUCAUCACAAACUCUACCAUAGGACCAAAAUGGGCAAAAUUUGAAGUAGUAAAGCACAGGCCUUUUCCUUUCAAAGUAAGACUUGAUUUAAUUUAAAUGUUCAUGCUUAGAAGAUUAGAAAACACCAUACAAAAAUUAGACAAGCUCUUAUACUCCAUGUAAAAGUUUUAGUUCAGUUCAAAGUUAUUUUAAGGUUUUCAAUUUGGCAAAAGAAAAAGGUGUUUGUUUUGGGGUCCAACUUGGAGAUUUUUUUUGUGUUCUUAUUAUUUUUCCCAUUUUCACCAUCAAAAUGAAACAAAAUCAAACCAUGCAACUGCCC
Strigops habroptila (Kakapo) is the source of this 3308-nucleotide long non-coding RNA. Lineage: Eukaryota; Metazoa; Chordata; Aves; Psittaciformes; Psittacidae. The record is from Ensembl.